AUGACCAUUUCUACCCCAAAAUCGCCCUUUUCUCACCCUAAACCCCCUUCCUGCACCAAAAUCACCCUUUCCAGCCCCAAAAUCGUCCAUUCUAGCCCCAAAAUUGCCCUUUUUCACCCCAAAUUUUCCUCUUUCUUACCCCCCAAAAUCAUUCUUUCCCCCCAAAUUCCAUUUUCUCACCCCAAACUGCUCCUUUCUGCCCCCAAAACGCUCAUCUAUACCCCCAAAUUCCCCUUUUUCACCCCCAAAUUCCCCUUUUUCACCCCAAAAUUCCCCUUUUUCACCCCAAAAUGCCCCAUUUUCACCCCAAAACGCCCCUUCCAGCCCCAAAUUCCCCUUUUUUCACCCAAAAUCCCAUUCCUGCCCCAAAAUCCUCCGUCCUCACCCCAAAAUCCUCCCAAUCUUCCACCAAAUCCCCCAUUUUGUCCCAAAUUCCCCAUUUCCACCCCCAAAAUCCCCAUUUCUACCUCAACCCAUUUUGCCCAAAAUCCCUCAUUCUCACCCCAAAACCCACUCCUGUCCCCAAAUCCCUAUUUUUCACCCCAAAAAUCUUCAAUCUUACCCCAAGUCCCCCCAUUUUUCACCCCCAAAUCCCAAAUUUCCCCACAAAAAACACCAUUCUUACCCUAACCCCCCCUUUUUUUUUUACCCCAAAUCCCCGUUUCUUACCCCAAAAUCCCCCUUUGUCACACCAAAUCCUCAACGCCUUUUACCCCAAUUCUUCCUCCAUCCUCAGCCCCAAAAUCCCAAUUUCUCACCCCAAAUCCCCCAUUCUUACCCCCAAAUCCCAAUUUCUAACCCCAAAAUCCCCUUUUUGACCCCAAAAUCCCCAUUUUUGACCCCAAAAUCCCCAUUUAUGACCCCAAAUCCUUAAUGCCUUUUUCUCUAAUCUCUCCCCUUCCCUGCCCCUAAACCCCCAUUUUUCACCCCAAAAUCCCAUUCUUACCCAAAUCCCCCAUUUCUUACCAAAAAUCCCCACUUUUGCCCCAAAUUCUCCAUUCCGACCCCAAAAUCCCCCAUUUUCACCCCAAAUCCUCAACACCUUUUACCUCAAUCCCCUCCACAUCCUGACCCCAAAAUCUGCAUUUCUUACCCCAAAACCCCCAAAUCUCUUCCUAAAAAUCCCAUUCUUACCAAAAAUUGCUUAUUUUUAACCCCAAAAUCCCCCAUUUUCACCCCAAUUUUCCCCAUCUUUACCCCAAAUUUCCCCACUUUUACCCCCAAAUCCCCCUUUUUACCCCAAAAUCCCCCGUUUUUACCCCAAUUUUCCCCAUUUU
This 1277-nucleotide long non-coding RNA is filed under the name Chrysolophus pictus (golden pheasant). RNAcentral describes it as "lncRNA (ENSCPIG00010001367.1)". Lineage: Eukaryota; Metazoa; Chordata; Aves; Galliformes; Phasianidae. The record is from RNAcentral.